This 253-nucleotide ribosomal RNA is filed under the name uncultured bacterium. Its description in RNAcentral is "partial 16S ribosomal RNA". It matches the Rfam family "Bacterial small subunit ribosomal RNA", at positions 524 to 776 of the family's 1533-position model. The record is from RNAcentral.
UACGAAGGGGGCAAGCGUUGUUCGGAAUUACUGGGCGUAAAGGGCGCGUAGGCGGCUUAUCAAGUCAGGCGUGAAAUUCCCGGGCUCAACCUGGGGGCUGCGCUUGAUACUGAUGAGCUUGAAUGCGGGAGAGGAUAGUGGAAUUCCCAGUGUAGAGGUGAAAUUCGUAGAUAUUGGGAAGAACACCGGUGGCGAAGGCGGCGACCUGGUCCGAUACUGACGCUGAGGCGCGAAAGCGUGGGGAGCAAACAGG